AUGUACCCCUUUGUACACACCGAUUCCUCCGCGCCGUCCGCACCCGCCUGACAAGUGCUCGCUACGUGUGUGAGCU
This 76-nucleotide small RNA is filed under the name Xanthomonas populi. RNAcentral describes it as "sX9 sRNA". It matches the Rfam family "Xanthomonas sRNA sX9". Lineage: Bacteria; Pseudomonadati; Pseudomonadota; Gammaproteobacteria; Lysobacterales; Lysobacteraceae. The record is from RNAcentral.